Molecule: small nuclear RNA, 37 nt
Filed under: Cervus elaphus hippelaphus
Lineage: Eukaryota; Metazoa; Chordata; Mammalia; Artiodactyla; Cervidae
Source: RNAcentral
AUCGCUCCUUGGCCUUUUGGCUAAGAUCAAGUGUAAU